CUCACACUGCUCUCACACUAUGACCACUGCUCUCACACUAUGACCACCAGCUCCGCUGUCUCAAGAAGAAAUGGCACGAAGGCUCUGCCUCCAGCACGUCUCCCGGGAGCCCGGAUCAUGGAAGCCACUCUGUCACAAGGGGCUCCGUGGUAACAGGGGGGCUGGGCUCCGGCCCACCAUCAAGGGUGCAGAGAGUGGGGAGGGGCUGCCAAAAAGAUGGCAGGUGUGUGUUGGGUACGGGAGAAGGAAGGCCGUGCCCACAGCUCAGGCCCACCGUCAAACGUCACCCUGCAAGGUCACUGGGUCACAGUCAAACCGAACAGUAUAAACUGCUUCAGAAACCACUACUGCUAGGGAUGAGCACGUCUUCUAAGUGGGCUUCUGCUUCCUCCACCCCCAAAACAAGCCUGCAGUGAGGCUACUGAAAGGGUACCCCUGAACUCAAGGGUGUGCCCAGAACCCACGUGGCUGAGGAGGACUCCCCGCGCUGGCUGCCCCUCACUCUCACCCUGAGCUUGGUCCUCCCUGACUGGCUCCCUCACUUGAGCUCAGCAAGCGCUUGACCAACCUCGCUCCGGGCGCUCACAAUGAACCCACAGUGGGGACGGGGGUUCAUUCAACCUGCUUUCUCUGAGACGUCUUUUGAAAACCUCAACUGUGGCUUUCAAAAAGACUGUAAAAUCACUGUGCUCAACUUGAAGAAUAAAAUCUUCAUUUUCAACCUUAAAGUGAUACUGGAGGGAAGAUUAAAAUCGGUCAUUUUUCAAACUGAAAAACAAAAUCCACAUGUGACCCCAUCACACAACAGGUCACGCAGCCCCACCCUCCUCAGCUUCUCCUCCACCACCAGCAGCCUGUCAUUGCAAGGCCUGCCCUGGGCUGGCAGGCGCAGGGGAAGCGGGCACACCGGCUCCUCCGUCCCCAGGCUGCGUGGGCUGCUUGCUCCACCUUCUUCCCAAAUUCAAGUGGCACUGAAAGAGCAUGGGCAAGCUGGGGAUUCUGAUCCGAAACACAACCGUGGGUACUAAGCAAGGACCCCUGCCUCUUGUAUUCCCUGUAUCAAAUAAAGAUGAUCAGUAUAA
Non-coding RNA from Odocoileus virginianus texanus, 1082 nucleotides. The record is from RefSeq and is a predicted model, not a curated record. Lineage: Eukaryota; Metazoa; Chordata; Mammalia; Artiodactyla; Cervidae.